RNAcentral lists this ribosomal RNA (439 nucleotides) under uncultured bacterium. RNAcentral's name for it is "bacterial SSU rRNA". It matches the Rfam family "Bacterial small subunit ribosomal RNA", at positions 954 to 1392 of the family's 1533-position model. The record is from RNAcentral.
GCACAACGCGAAGAACCUUACCAGGUCUUGACAUCCUUUGCCUUUCCUAGAGAUAGGACUUCCCCUUCGGGGGACAAAAGUGACAGGUGGUGCAUGGUUGUCGUCAGCUCGUGUCGUGAGAUGUUGGGUUAAGUCCCGCAACGAGCGCAACCCUUGUCCUUAGUUGCCAGCAUUCAGUUGGGCACUCUAAGGAGACUGCCGGUGACAAACCGGAGGAAGGUGGGGAUGACGUCAAAUCAUCAUGCCCCUUAUGACCUGGGCUACACACGUGCUACAAUGGAUGGUACAAAGGGCUGCAAAAUCGCGAGGUUGAGCCAAUCCCAUAAAACCAUUCUCAGUUCGGAUUGUAGGCUGCAACUCGCCUACAUGAAGCCGGAAUCGCUAGUAAUCGCGGAUCAGCAUGCCGCGGUGAAUACGUUCCCGGGUCUUGUACACACCG